RNAcentral lists this non-coding RNA (241 nucleotides) under Clostridioides difficile. Its description in RNAcentral is "Clostridium difficile T-box sequence". It matches the Rfam family "T-box leader". Rfam says of the family: Uncharged tRNA acts as the effector for transcription antitermination of genes in the T-box leader family. T-boxes are found upstream of many aminoacyl-tRNA synthetase genes and some amino acid biosynthetic genes usually in Gram-positive bacteria. The record is from RNAcentral. Lineage: Bacteria; Bacillati; Bacillota; Clostridia; Peptostreptococcales; Peptostreptococcaceae.
AAAAAGGCGAUGAAUAGGAAGAGUAAAUCUAAUUCGAUUACCAGAGAGAAGAGUCCGUUGGCUGGAAGACUUUUUAAAUUAGAGGGAUUGAAAACUACCUAGGAGCUACUUUCUGAAGUCAUCUGCAUUAGUAGAUUUUAGUAAGAAUAGUCGUUAGCUGCGUUAAAGUGUAAAGUGAGUUUUCAUGACAUAUGAAAACUAAAUUAGGUGGAACCGCGGGAAUAAUACUCUCGUCCUUAUG